Molecule: ribosomal RNA, 275 nt
Filed under: uncultured Magnetospirillum sp.
Lineage: Bacteria; Pseudomonadati; Pseudomonadota; Alphaproteobacteria; Rhodospirillales; Rhodospirillaceae
Description: partial 16S ribosomal RNA
Rfam family: Bacterial small subunit ribosomal RNA
Source: RNAcentral
CCUACGGGGGGCUGCAGUGGGGAAUAUUGGACAAUGGGCGCAAGCCUGAUCCAGCCAUGCCGCGUGAGUGAUGAAGGCCUUAGGGUUGUAAAGCUCUUUCACCCACGACGAUGAUGACGGUAGUGGGAGAAGAAGCCCCGGCUAACUUCGUGCCAGCAGCCGCGGUAAUACGAAGGGGGCUAGCGUUGUUCGGAAUUACUGGGCGUAAAGCGCACGCAGGCGGUUCGGUCAGUCAGAAGUGAAAGCCCCGGGCUUAACCUGGGAACUGCUUUUGA